This 404-nucleotide ribosomal RNA is filed under the name uncultured Alphaproteobacteria bacterium. RNAcentral describes it as "bacterial SSU rRNA". It matches the Rfam family "Bacterial small subunit ribosomal RNA", at positions 429 to 851 of the family's 1533-position model. The record is from RNAcentral. Lineage: Bacteria; Pseudomonadati; Pseudomonadota; Alphaproteobacteria.
AGCUCUUUCGCCAGAGAUGAUAAUGACAGUAUCUGGUAAAGAAACCCCGGCUAACUCCGUGCCAGCAGCCGCGGUAAUACGGAGGGGGUUAGCGUUGUUCGGAAUUACUGGGCGUAAAGCGCGCGUAGGCGGAUUGGAAAGCUAGAGGUGAAAUCCCGGGGCUCAACCCCGGAACUGCCUUUAGAACUCCCAGUCUAGAGUUCGAGAGAGGUGAGUGGAAUUCCGAGUGUAGAGGUGAAAUUCGUAGAUAUUCGGAGGAACACCAGUGGCGAAGGCGGCUCACUGGCUCGAUACUGACGCUGAGGUGCGAAAGUGUGGGGAGCAAACAGGAUUAGAUACCCUGGUAGUCCACACCGUAAACGAUGAAUGCCAGUCGUCGGGUAGCAUGCUGCUCGGUGACACAC